Molecule: ribosomal RNA, 497 nt
Filed under: uncultured bacterium
Lineage: Bacteria
Description: partial 16S ribosomal RNA
Rfam family: Bacterial small subunit ribosomal RNA
Source: RNAcentral
GAUGAACGCUGGCGGCGUGCCUAAUACAUGCAAGUCGAGCGAACGGACGAGAAGCUUGCUUCUCUGAUGUUAGCGGCGGACGGGUGAGUAACACGUGGAUAACCUACCUAUAAGACUGGGAUAACUUCGGGAAACCGGAGCUAAUACCGGAUAAUAUUUUGAACCGCAUGGUUCAAAAGUGAAAGACGGUCUUGCUGUCACUUAUAGAUGGAUCCGCGCUGCAUUAGCUAGUUGGUAAGGUAACGGCUUACCAAGGCAACGAUGCAUAGCCGACCUGAGAGGGUGAUCGGCCACACUGGAACUGAGACACGGUCCAGACUCCUACGGGAGGCAGCAGUAGGGAAUCUUCCGCAAUGGGCGAAAGCCUGACGCAGCAACGCCGCGUGAGUGAUGAAGGUCUUCGGAUCGUAAAACUCUGUUAUUAGGGAAGAACAGAUGUGGAAGUAACUGUGCACAUCUUGACGGUACCUAAUCAGAAAGCAACGGCUAACUACGUG